This 492-nucleotide ribosomal RNA is filed under the name uncultured bacterium. RNAcentral's name for it is "partial 16S ribosomal RNA". It matches the Rfam family "Bacterial small subunit ribosomal RNA", at positions 29 to 507 of the family's 1533-position model. The record is from RNAcentral.
AGUGAACGCUGGCGGUAGGCCUAACACAUGCAAGUCGAACGGCAGCACAGUAAGAGCUUGCUCUUACGGGUGGCGAGUGGUGGACGGGUGAGGAAUACAUCGGAAUCUACUUUUUCGUGGGGGAUAACGUAGGGAAACUUACGCUAAUACCGCAUACGACCUACGGGUGAAAGCAGGGGAUCUUCGGACCUUGCGCGAUUGAAUGAGCCGAUGUCGGAUUAGCUAGUUGGCGGGGUAAAGGCCCACCAAGGCGACGAUCCGUAGCUGGUCUGAGAGGAUGAUCAGCCACACUGGAACUGGGACACGGUCCAGACUCCUACGGGAGGCAGCAGUGGGGAAUAUUGGACAAUGGGCGCAAGCCUGAUCCAGCCAUACCGCGUGGGUGAAGAAGGCCUUCGGGUUGUAAAGCCCUUUUGUUGGGAAAGAAAAGCAGCAGGUUAAUACCCCGCUGUUCUGACGGUACCCAAAGAAUAAGCACCGGCUAACUUCGUG